UACGGCGGUUAUGGCGGGAAGGAAACACCCGGUUACAUUCCGAACCCGGAAGUUAAGCUUCUCUGCGCCGAUGGUACUGCACUCGGGAGGGUGUGGGAGAGUAGGUCACCGCCGGAC
This 117-nucleotide ribosomal RNA is filed under the name Nonomuraea ferruginea. The record is from RNAcentral. Lineage: Bacteria; Bacillati; Actinomycetota; Actinomycetes; Streptosporangiales; Streptosporangiaceae. RNAcentral also lists the same sequence under 67 other names.